UAUAAAGUGGCGAACGGCUGAGUAACACGUGGGCAACCUGCCCUUUGCACUGGGAUAGGCCUCGGGAAACCGAGGUUAAUACCGGAUACUCCAUAUUUGUCGCAUGGCGAAUAUUGGGAAAGCUCCGGCGGCAAAGGAUGGGCCCGCGGCCUGUUAGCUAGUUGGUGGGGUAGUGGCCUACCAAGGCAAUGAUGGGUAGCCGGGUUGAGAGACCGACCGGCCAGAUUGGGACUGAGACACGGCCCAGACUCCUACGGGAGGCAGCAGUC
RNAcentral lists this ribosomal RNA (269 nucleotides) under uncultured Atopobium sp. RNAcentral's name for it is "partial 16S ribosomal RNA". It matches the Rfam family "Bacterial small subunit ribosomal RNA", at positions 89 to 355 of the family's 1533-position model. The record is from RNAcentral. Lineage: Bacteria; Bacillati; Actinomycetota; Coriobacteriia; Coriobacteriales; Atopobiaceae.